UACGGGGGGGGCAAGCGUUGUUCGGAAUUACUGGGCGUAAAGGGCUCGUAGGCGGCCAACUAAGUCGGACGUGAAAUCCCCAGGCUCAACCUGGGAACUGCGUCCGAUACUGGAUGGCUUGAAUCCGGGAGAGGGAUGCAGAAUUCCAGGUGUAGCGGUGAAAUGCGUAGAUAUCUGGAGGAACACCGGUGGCGAAGGCGGCCUGCUGGGCAGUUUAGCUGACACUGAGGCGCGACAGCGUGGGGAGCAAACAGG
RNAcentral lists this ribosomal RNA (255 nucleotides) under uncultured bacterium. RNAcentral's name for it is "partial 16S ribosomal RNA". It matches the Rfam family "Bacterial small subunit ribosomal RNA", at positions 524 to 776 of the family's 1533-position model. The record is from RNAcentral.